GCAUUUGCAAUUUGUGUCUGGUUCCUUGUAAAGAUUUUCUAAUAACAGACUUUCACCAGACUCAAUAAAAAGAAGGCAUUAACCAAAUUUUAUUUUGCAAUUUUCCAUGUUAUUGCAAUUUUUAUGCAAUACUCCUUAAUUUAGUGCAAUUUUUCGCGAAUUCAACGUUAGUCAGAUGAUAUUAAUGAAUGAAUAAUGAUCCUCACUUAAAUAUGUUUAGCUGGUUAUGAAUUGCGUCGGCUGAACGUAAAACACGUACGAGAUAGCAGCACAAAAAUAAUCUCAGUAACUUGAAACCUAAGCAGGGAACAUAUUACAAUAAUUGCAUUUUAUAUAGACUGCCAGUGCGAGUGAAUACCUUAUAAAAAGUGUAGGUGGUAUUGUUAAUCCUAUAUUUCUGUUAAAAUGCCGAAAGUUGCUUCAUCAAUUUCCCAAAAAUUGCAAGAGUAGAUUGGUCCUUAUAAUAAAAACGCGGAAGUAUUUACUUCAGAUGGCAAAAUUAUAUUUUGCAAUGUCUGCUCUAAAUCCGUAGGGACAGGAAAAAAAUAUUUUAUAGACGCCCAUGUUAAAACUGAAAGCCACAUACGCGCAUUGAGUAAAAAUGUGAAAAGCAAACAAACUUUGCUGACCAUACCUGCCUUGACUUCCAGUGAUAAAAGAAAUGAAUUUUACGAGGAUUUAUGUGGUGCACUUUUGGGGUCCAAUAUACCUUUUUACAAAGUAAAUGCGGAACCUUUCAAACAAUUUCUGGAAAAGUACACAAGUCGUCACGUUCCAGAUGAAAGUACUUUAAGGAAAACAUACCUUCCAACAGUAUUCCGGAAGAAAAUGGAAAAUAUUAAAACUUCCGUUGGGAAUAGCUGUGUGUACUUAAUUGUAGACGAAACAACAGAUUCCAGAGGCUAGUAGAAUUUUCACAAUAUCUUUUUUUUCUGAAAUUUCAUUUUAUAGGUUUCUACAUUGCAAAUUUGCUGGUUGGCGUGUUAGACACUGAUGAACCCCAGAAACCAUUUCUCAUUGCUUGUAAACGUCUGCCAACAACUAAUUUUGAAACAAUAUGUCAGUUUAUAAACAAAUCUCUUACUGCUUUCUCGUCUACCAUUAAUGGGCGCGUUUUACUUUUACUUACCGAUGCAGCGCCUUAUAUGGUUAAAGCUGCAAAAACUGAAGGUUUUUUAUCCAAAUUUAUUACAUGUUACAUGUCUAGCACAUGGAAUAAAUAGGGUUGCAGAGGUUGCCAGAGAACUGUGCCCUGGAGUUAACAAAUUGGUUAACAAUGGAAAGAAAGCGUUCCUUAAAGCACCUUCACGUGUGGCAAUAUACAAAGAAAUUAUGCCAGAUUCGCCUCUUCCUCCGGAGCCAAUAAUUACUCGUUGGGGUACUUGGUUGGAAGCAGCGAUAUUUUACGCCAACAACUAUGAAAAAUUUGCUGCAGUUGUUAGGAGGUUAGAGGAUGACGCAGAAUCCGUAAAAAAAUUAAAACUCUUAAUAGAAGAACGAAGCGUACAGAAUGAAUUAAUAUUUAUUAAAACACACUUGUGCUUUCUCCCUGAGUGUUUGAAGCAAUUAGAAAAUCAAGGAAUGUCACUAUAUGACAGCAUAUCUAUCGUGC
This is a long non-coding RNA of Photinus pyralis (common eastern firefly), 1612 nucleotides long. RefSeq lists it as uncharacterized. The transcript has 3 exons. Lineage: Eukaryota; Metazoa; Arthropoda; Insecta; Coleoptera; Lampyridae. The record is from RefSeq and is a predicted model, not a curated record.